AUACGUAGGGGGCGAGCGUUGUCCGGAAUGAUUGGGCGUAAAGGGCGCGUAGGCGGCCUGUUAAGUCUGGAGUGAAAGUCCUGUUUUCAAGAUGGGACUUGCUUUGGAUACUGAUGGGCUUGAGUGCAGGAGAGGUUAUCGGAAUUCCCGGUGUAGCGGUGAAAUGCGUAGAGAUCGGGAGGAACACCAGUGGCGAAGGCGGGUAACUGGACUGCAACUGACGCUGAGGCGCGAAAGUGUGGGGAACAAACAGGAUUAGAUACCCUGGUAGUCCACACUGUAAACGAUGAAUGCUAGGUGUAAGAGGUAUCGACCCCUUUUGUGCCGGAGUUAACACAAUAAGCAUUCCGCCUGGGGAGUACGGCCGCAAGGUUGAAACUCAAAUGAAUUGACGGGG
RNAcentral lists this ribosomal RNA (397 nucleotides) under uncultured bacterium. RNAcentral's name for it is "partial 16S ribosomal RNA". It matches the Rfam family "Bacterial small subunit ribosomal RNA", at positions 523 to 918 of the family's 1533-position model. The record is from RNAcentral.